UAGAAGACAAAUAUCCUUCGUUCGAAGUUUUGUGUUCUGUAACACAGUCUCCUCCCCAGGCUUUCCUGGAACUCAACAGUGGAAGCUCAAACUCACAAGAAUCAGUCUGGGGCUUCCCUAGUGCUGGGGCCACAGGCUUGUGCCACCUAACCUGCCUUUACCCAGUGAGACUUUAGAAUUGCUCUCCCACAUGGACCGAGGGUCUGCAUUUCAUGGACGCUGCAACUCACAAACAACGCUUUGCCUUUCUGCGAUUGAAGCCACUGACCCCCGUUGUCUGGCCAGGAUGACAUAAACUCUGACUAAUGCGAGGAGAAAGUGCUGCUGGCCCUGGCUGUGGAAAGGCUUCCUCCGGACAACGGAAUUGCCCUCCUUCCGCUGGCCCUCCUGAUCGAUCCUGGUUCCCUUAGUGAUCUGAGCAUGGGCUGCAGGGACCAUGUCUGCAGCUGGGCAUCCUUUGGUUGCUCAGAGUUGUGAAGAUCCCUCCGGCUACAUUGCUUCCUUGACAGCCUAGGCUCCUGUGCUGAAGCACGAUUCCUGUUUCAGGUCCCAGUGAAGCAAACAGGUUCCCACUGGGCCACACUCUCUCAGGGGACACAAGCCUCCCCUGUUCUUCCUUAGCCACUCAAGACCCAGGGUACCCACAAACAAGACUCAAGGGCCCCUCUCUAGCGGGCCUGUAGGUAGAUCCUUUCUCUUUAAAACUGGUGAAGCCUUGAUGAGGCUGGAUGGAAGGAUUAUCAAAACAAUUUUCCCUCAGUUCUGAAACCGGAAAGGCAGGCUCUCUGCAAGUCCUGUUUCCCCUGCACUAGACUCCAAGGUGCCCUUCCCUCGCGGCUAAAUCUCCAUAUCCAGGAGCUCCUGGCUUCUGUGGAUCCCCACCUGGGACUGACUGAGGUCACAGAAGCAGACAAGUGAGGAAAGUAGCAGCUCCAGCUGCUCCCCGCUAACUCGGGAAUGGGCUGUGCAGAGGUUUGAGUGCUGUGUACAUCGCAGUGGGUGUCGACACCCACUGCAAGUGAGGCAAUGUAAGAAUCCUGGGGAUCCGUGGGAGGACUGAGGAGGUGGAUAAAGUCCCGGUGACCUCAGUUCGAUUCCCCAGGACCCACUUGGGAGACGUCUAGAGCCAGUUUUCACAAGUUGUCUUCUGGUCAACACACGCACACGCCCCCAUGCCCUCUGCCCCAUGUACAAAUACAUAAAUAAA
Long non-coding RNA from Mus musculus (house mouse), 1207 nucleotides. RefSeq annotates it as predicted gene, 39281. The transcript has 3 exons. The record is from RefSeq and is a predicted model, not a curated record. Lineage: Eukaryota; Metazoa; Chordata; Mammalia; Rodentia; Muridae.